CCUACGGGUGGCAGCAGUGGGGGAUAUUGCACAAUGGGGGAAACCCUGAUGCAGCGACGCCGCGUGUGGGAAGACGGUCCUCUGGGUUGUAAACCACUGUUCCCAGGGACGAAGAUGACGGUACCUGGGGAGGAAGCUCCGGCUAACUACGUGCCAGCAGCCGCGGUAAUACGUAGGGAGCAAGCGUUGUCCGGAAUUACUGGGUGUAAAGGGAGCGUAGGCGGAAUGGCAAGUUGGGUGUUAAAUCUACCGGCUCAACUGGUAGUCGCACUCGAAACUGCUAUUCUUGAGUGACGUAGAGGCAGGCGGAAUGCGUGGUGUAGCGGUGAAAUGCAUAGAUAUUAGGAAGAACACCGGUGGCGAAGGCAGCCUACUGGGGUUUUACUGACGCUGAGGCUCGAAAGUGUGGGGAUCGAACAGGAUUAGAGACCCGAGUAGUC
This 440-nucleotide ribosomal RNA is filed under the name uncultured bacterium. RNAcentral describes it as "partial 16S ribosomal RNA". It matches the Rfam family "Bacterial small subunit ribosomal RNA", at positions 338 to 795 of the family's 1533-position model. The record is from RNAcentral.